Molecule: long non-coding RNA, 539 nt
Filed under: Homo sapiens (human)
Lineage: Eukaryota; Metazoa; Chordata; Mammalia; Primates; Hominidae
Description: novel transcript
Source: RNAcentral
GCAGCAGUAACCCGCUUGGAUCCAGGUUGACAGCACACGUCAGAAACAUUGAGAAGAGGAACAGACCCAAGCAUGAAUGAGGAUUCAUUUUCAUAUCUGGAUCUCCAAGCACUUCAGUUAAAGGUGAAGAGCCGCCUUCUCCCAGGUGUUGCAGUAGAUCAGGAGCUGCACUGUCAGAAGGGAUGGGCACCACGCGGAGACUGUCCACUCCCUGCAGUGCACAGCACGAUGAAGACUUACUGAAUUGCACCUAAACAUAUCAACAACCCACUGAUAAAGCUUGGACAUUUGUCCCCUUCAAACCUCGUGUUGAAAUUUCAUCGCCAAUGUUGGAGCCCAUCUUGGUGAAGACAGCCUGUCUGUCCACAGGGAGAACCAGGAGAAGCCCAAGUGGUCUUGACUCUGACUCGCUCCAGGCGUCUCCUGUUGAUCAAUGCCACAGUCCUCCUCCAGGAAGAAAAUGUGAAGAGUUCAAGCAUCUUUUCUGGAUCAUCCGAGGAAAACAGUUCAAGAUUUCCAAUAAUAGUAAAAACAUCAAA